CAAAAGUGCUCACGAGAGCACGGCUUCUAUGCAUAAUUCAGGGGAUCUCCGUCCGAAGAUUCCUGGCGGGGCCAGACGAAGAUUGGUUUUCGGUGCGGAUGAGGAGCGAGAUCAUGGUCGAAGACAGGUGGAAGGCUCACCGACCAAGAUUUAUCAUAGAAGUAGCCAGGAGGAUAGAGCUGCCAAGUUGGCAAAGAUGGCGGACGAAGCAGAUAGAGCCAUGGAAGUCCUGUUAAAGCAAAUAGAAGAUAUAGCCGAACAGAUGCU
RNAcentral lists this long non-coding RNA (267 nucleotides) under Panax ginseng (ginseng). RNAcentral describes it as "long non-coding RNA (PGIN_LNC002546)". The record is from RNAcentral. Lineage: Eukaryota; Viridiplantae; Streptophyta; Magnoliopsida; Apiales; Araliaceae.